This 1248-nucleotide long non-coding RNA is filed under the name Dromaius novaehollandiae (emu). RNAcentral's name for it is "lncRNA (ENSDNVG00000015177.1)". The record is from RNAcentral. Lineage: Eukaryota; Metazoa; Chordata; Aves; Casuariiformes; Dromaiidae.
AAGAUUCUCUUUCUACGUUGCUCAGUUAGGCUUUUCUCCUUUAAUUAAAAGGGAGAGUGUCUUACUAAAAUGAGGAUUAUUCUUCAGAUUGUACUAAGAUACAGGAAAAAUCAUACUUGUUCCAUUAAGCUCUUUAAUUUCCACUCUAGGAUUCAAACUGUAACAAUUAUCCUUUGUUGUAGUCUGCCUCUAUUCCUGUUAGAGACUAAAUUGAAAGGCAAAUGCUUAUUUUCCCAUUGUUAUUUGUUUAGCAACCAUGUUGUGAAGAGCUAAUUCUCAAUCUAAGCAGCACCCACUCAUUUCAUAAUGUUGGUGGUAAUUUCUACUUGCUGAAUGGGAGGUUCUUUCAUCCAAAGACUUCGAAGUGCUUGACUUGAAUAUAUGUAGCUUGACAGCAACCCAUGAUGUAGGUAAGUGUUAUCAGAACUGUGCUUAUGUAGGGAAAUGGACAGUAUAACACAGUACCAUGUAGAAAUGUCUGUAUGGUGUCGUGCAGCAGUGUUAGCUAGAGAUUACGGAGUUGUACAGUUGCAUUAGGUUUCUACUUGUGGCUUCCAGUCCGAACUAGCUUGUUUGGUGCCAGCUUGCUGAUCUUUGCUUUUUUCAUCAUGCUAUGUUAUAUCCUUUGUUCCUUGGUGAAAGUCCUGUUAUAAGUCAGCAGAAAACUGGAAAUAGUACAGAAGAAUUCCAGCUCUUGGCUCCUUGUCCUACCGCUCAGUAUUACUCCUAUUUGGGGAGGUAAGGAGGGGGAGUGAAGAUCAGGCUUUCUGUACUCAUGGUUUCCUGCUGACGUUCUCACAAGGAAGAGAGAAGAACCCAAGAAGAUGGCUGCGAGUGCUAACCAAAAGCAUGUUGUGUUUUACCAUGGAGAUGCUGUCAGAAGGUGCCAUAAGGAAGGAGGGAAAAUGUCACCUAGCAACAGAAGCCCUGAGAAGAAAACUUCCACACUCACCAGAAGAGGCAGAGCGAGCUGGAGCGUUGAGAGGAGGCACGGACAAGAGCUGAAAAGGCUGCUUGUCUGCUGCUCUGGGGCUGAGCUUAACGCUGUAGUGGUAGGUGCUCUGGGCGCAAACGCUGUGUAAAGGGAAGUUAGCAUCUCUGCCAGUGGUUUGCAUAGAACUUGGUUUGCAUAAUGGGACUUUGGGUUACUUUUUCUGUGACUCUCUAAUUUGAAUUUGAAAAUGAUAAAAUCUUAAAUCAUGAUGGGAAUCUACAUUUUAAUUUAAAAACAGCAAAAAAGUAAACUUG